GCGGCAGGCCUAACACAUGCAAGUCGAGCGGCAGCGGGAAAGUAGCUUGCUACUUUUGCCGGAGAGCGGCGGACGGGUGAGUAAUGCCUGGGAAAUUGCCCAGUCGAGGGGGAUAACAGUUGGAAACGACUGCUAAUACCGCAUACGCCCUACGGGGGAAAGCAGGGGACCUUCGGGCCUUGCGCGAUUGGAUAUGCCCAGGUGGGAUUAGCUAGUUGGUGAGGUAAUGGCUCACCAAGGCGACGAUCCCUAGCUGGUCUGAGAGGAUGAUCAGCCACACUGGAACUGAGACACGGUCCAGACUCCUACGGGAGGCAGCAGUGGGGAAUAUUGCACAAUGGGGGAAACCCUGAUGCAGCCAUGCCGCGUGUGUGAAGAAGGCCUUCGGGUUGUAAAGCACUUUCAGCGAGGAGGAAAGGUCAGUAGCUAAUAUCUGCUGACUGUGACGUUACUCGCAGAAGAAGCACCGGCUA
RNAcentral lists this ribosomal RNA (473 nucleotides) under uncultured bacterium. RNAcentral's name for it is "bacterial SSU rRNA". It matches the Rfam family "Bacterial small subunit ribosomal RNA", at positions 39 to 499 of the family's 1533-position model. The record is from RNAcentral.